This is a non-coding RNA of Mycena crocata, 96 nucleotides long. NCBI's taxonomy places the organism in Eukaryota, Fungi, Basidiomycota, Agaricomycetes, Agaricales, Mycenaceae. The record is from the annotation of a GenBank genome assembly.
GCCCUGGUAGUGUAAUGGUAACACGCCUCUCGUUUCUUUCCGAAGCCUCUGUGAACAUUUCUAGAGGUGAUCCUGGUUCAAUUCCAGGUCAGGACG